RNAcentral lists this ribosomal RNA (497 nucleotides) under uncultured bacterium. Its description in RNAcentral is "partial 16S ribosomal RNA". It matches the Rfam family "Bacterial small subunit ribosomal RNA", at positions 28 to 507 of the family's 1533-position model. The record is from RNAcentral.
GAUGAACGCUGGCGGCGUGCCUAAUACAUGCAAGUCGAGCGAACAGACGAGGAGCUUGCUCCUUCGACGUUAGCGGCGGACGGGUGAGUAACACGUAGGUAACCUACCUAUAAGACUGUGAUAACUUCGGGAAACCGGAGCUAAUACCGGAUAAUAUUUCGAACCGCAUGGUUCGAUAGUGAAAGAUGGCUUUGCUAUCACUUAUAGAUGGACCUGCGCCGUAUUAGCUAGUUGGUAAGGUAACGGCUUACCAAGGCAACGAUACGUAGCCGACCUGAGAGAGAGAUCGGCCACACUAGAACUGAGACACGGUCCAGACUCCUACGGAAGGCAGAAGUAGGGAACCUUCAGCAAUAGGGGAAAGCCUGACGGAGCAACGACGAGUGAGUGAUGAAGGUGUUCGGAUAGUAAAAAUCUGUUAUUAGGGAAGAACAAACGUGUAAGUAACUGUACAAGUAUAGACGGUACAGGAUCAGAAAGCCACAGAUAACUACGUG